Molecule: ribosomal RNA, 253 nt
Filed under: uncultured bacterium
Lineage: Bacteria
Description: partial 16S ribosomal RNA
Rfam family: Bacterial small subunit ribosomal RNA
Source: RNAcentral
UACAGAGGGUGCAAGCGUUAAUCGGAAUUACUGGGCGUAAAGCGCGCGUAGGUGGUUUGGUAAGUCGGAUGUGAAAUCCCCGGGCUCAACCUGGGAACUGCAUUCGAAACUGCCUGGCUAGAGUUUGAGAGAGGGAAGUGGAAUUCCACAUGUAGCGGUGAAAUGCGUAGAUAUGUGGAGGAACAUCAAUGGCGAAGGCAGCUUCCUGGACCAAUACUGACGCUGAGGCGCGAAAGCGUGGGUAGCAAACAGG